UGCCAGCAGCCGCGGUAAUACGGAGGGUGCGAGCGUCAGUCGGAAUUACUGGGCGUAAAGCGCGCGUAGGUGGUCUGUUAAGUGGGAUGUGAAAGCCCCGGGCUCAACCUGGGAAUUGCACCCCAAACUGGCAAACUAGAGUACAAGAGAGGGGCGUGGAAUUUCCUGUGUAGCGGUGAAAUGCGUAGAUAUAGGAAGGAACAUCAGUGGCGAAGGCGACGCCCUGGCUUGAUACUGACACUGAGGUGCGAAAGCGUGGGGAGCGAACAGGAUUAGAUA
This 279-nucleotide ribosomal RNA is filed under the name uncultured bacterium. Its description in RNAcentral is "partial 16S ribosomal RNA". It matches the Rfam family "Bacterial small subunit ribosomal RNA", at positions 506 to 784 of the family's 1533-position model. The record is from RNAcentral.